AGUGAACUGCGUUUGUAGUGAAAAUCCUUAUUCGCCGGGGUUCGGCGUAUAAGAUUGCAACGAAUAGCUGGAAAUUGC
RNAcentral lists this small RNA (78 nucleotides) under Flavobacterium limicola. RNAcentral describes it as "Flavo-1 RNA". It matches the Rfam family "Flavo-1 RNA". Lineage: Bacteria; Pseudomonadati; Bacteroidota; Flavobacteriia; Flavobacteriales; Flavobacteriaceae. The record is from RNAcentral.